Molecule: ribosomal RNA, 392 nt
Filed under: Burkholderia multivorans
Lineage: Bacteria; Pseudomonadati; Pseudomonadota; Betaproteobacteria; Burkholderiales; Burkholderiaceae
Description: bacterial SSU rRNA
Rfam family: Bacterial small subunit ribosomal RNA
Source: RNAcentral
GUCGAACGGCAGCACGGGUGCUUGCACCUGGUGGCGAGUGGCGAACGGGUGAGUAAUACAUCGGAACAUGUCCUGUAGUGGGGGAUAGCCCGGCGAAAGCCGGAUUAAUACCGCAUACGAUCUACGGAUGAAAGCGGGGGACCUUCGGGCCUCGCGCUAUAGGGUUGGCCGAUGGCUGAUUAGCUAGUUGGUGGGGUAAAGGCCUACCAAGGCGACGAUCAGUAGCUGGUCUGAGAGGACGACCAGCCACACUGGGACUGAGACACGGCCCAGACUCCUACGGGAGGCAGCAGUGGGGAAUUUUGGACAAUGGGCGAAAGCCUGAUCCAGCAAUGCCGCGUGUGUGAAGAAGGCCUUCGGGUUGUAAAGCACUUUUGUCCGGAAAGAAAUCC